AUUCAUAUCUUUUUAAUAACGUUUUCUUUUCGGUCUCUCUUCCUUUCGAAAACUGUUCUUAUUCUUAUAUUAUUCUAACAAAACAAUAUUUAUCAAUCAGCAUGAGAAAGUGGUUUCAAAAGAUGUAAAAGUUUUUGAAAAAUGUUUUUGAAGAUUCUAACGAAACAAUCUUCCAUCCGUUUCCAAAAAUGUAAAAGUUUCUCAUUUGUCCAUAACCCGCCACAUGAAGAUCGUCCAUUCUUACUCUUUUUAGCUACAAAGUUUCCUCGAAAUAGUUGAUUAAGGUUUGCUUAUUCGAUUGCCUUUUUUUUUUUGAGUUUUACAUAUUACAACCCCCAAGAUUGUUGAAGUUUGGCACUUUUUUUUUGAAGACAUGGUUGAAAGUUAUUGUAGCAUUUAUAUUUUCAGUUUUUUUUGUUGUUGUAAUGCUACCAUUUAAUGGUUGUAACAUUUAAUUGAAGAGGAAGUAAUUAAGAGGGGUAGAAGGGGGUUACAAACACCACAACCGCUAGAUGUCUUUGGCUAGGAUGAGACUGGGGUGGUCGGAUCACAUGUUUAUCUCUUAAAAUGUUAUCCGUCCGUCCAAGGCUCAAAAACCCAUCCUGUUUUGUAUUAUGGAUUACGCAUAAUGCUCACGAAUCGUAUAUGUAUACAAACUAUUUGAGAUAAUAUUGUCAGAACUAAUCCUAUGGGUAUUCCCAUUAGAAAAAUAGAGACUCAGGUGUCAAUAUCUCUAUUUAAUCAUGUUAGCUUUUAUUGGUGAACUUGUUAAGGAAAUAUUACUAAGUAAUUUCUUGUACACAAUAUUUUUAUUUUUUUAUAAUGGUUGGAAGUUUUAAAAAACUUAUGUUGUGUAAUUUGGGCAUUUGAAUGUUAAAUCAAUAGCCCUGGGAAGGGACCAUAUUUCCAA
Papaver somniferum (opium poppy) is the source of this 910-nucleotide long non-coding RNA. RefSeq lists it as uncharacterized. NCBI's taxonomy places the organism in Eukaryota, Viridiplantae, Streptophyta, Magnoliopsida, Ranunculales, Papaveraceae. The transcript is spliced from 3 exons. The record is from RefSeq and is a predicted model, not a curated record.